Molecule: long non-coding RNA, 2355 nt
Organism: Macaca mulatta (Rhesus monkey)
Lineage: Eukaryota; Metazoa; Chordata; Mammalia; Primates; Cercopithecidae
Source: Ensembl
AUGCUGGGGGUUCCUGAUAAUGUACGAUGCUGGGAGUUCCUGAUAAUGUUCACUGACUUCUUUCUUCUUUUAUCUUUUUCCUCAUCAAAAAAGGCCAGUUAUGCUAGUAAACACCAGGAAAAGAAAAUUGCUUAUAGAGUUCUUUGGCAUUGCAGGCAUAUAAAGGAAAGGGGACAUAUACACAUCUGCUACAAAGUUCUACAUUUCUUCAUCAAGGAUAUGGGACACUGUGUCUGGAGUUGGUUCCUUCCAGGGGAUUCGUGGUCUCGCUGACUUCAAGAAUGAGGCUGUGAACCUUCAUGGUGAGUGUUACAGCUCUUAAAGGUGGCAUGGACCCAAAGAGUGAGCAGCAACGAGGUUUAUUGUGAAGAGCAAAAGAACAAAGCUUCCAUAGCGUGGAAGCAGACCAGAGUGGGUUACUGCUGCUGGCUGGGGUGGCCAGCUUUUAUUCCCUUAUUUGUCCCCGCCCAUGUUCCAUUUCUGCCCUAUCAGAGUGCCCUUUUUUCAAUCCUCCCCGUGAUUGGUUACUUUUAGACUCCUGCUGAUUGGUGGGUUUUCCAGAGCACUGAUUGGUGCGUUUUAUGGAGUGUUGAUAGGUGUGUUUUUUCAGAGUGCUGAUUGGUACAUUUUACAAUCCUCUUACUAGCUACAGAGCACUGAUUGGUGCAUUUUUACAGAGCACUGAUUGGUGCAUUUUACAAACCUCUUGCUAGCUACAGAAUGCCGAUUGGUGCAUCUUACAAUCGUCUUGUAAGACAGAAAAGUUCUCCAAGUCCCCACUGGACCCAGGAAGUCCAACUGGCUUCACCUCUCAACACUAUAGAGGUAUCCCGGGCAUGGUGGCUCAUGCCUGUAAUCCCAGCACUCUGGGAGGCUGAGACAGGUGAAUCACUUGAGGUCAAAGUUUGAGACCAGCCUGGCCAACAUGGUGAAACCCCAUCUCUACUAAAAAUACAAACAUUAGCUGGAUGUGGUGGCAUGCUUGUACUUCCAGCUAGUCUGGAUGCUGAGGCAGGAGAAUCGCUUGAACCUGAGAGGCAGAGGUUGCAGUGAGCCGAGAUGGUGCCAUAGCACUCCAGCUUGGAGGACAGAGCGAGACUCUUCUCAAAAAAAAAAAAAAAAAAAAGAAAAAAAAAAGCAAAGUAGCAACAUAAAGAAGGAGCCACUGGAACAUUCUCGGAGGGCUUUUCCACGGCCUUUUACUUCCUUAUGGGGACACACGGCUGCUGGUACAGAAAGAACCUUUGCUAACCCGGACUGAUACAGACUUACAUUACUGUUCAGGAAAAAGUUAAAACAUUCAAAAAAAAAAAAAUGUACACCUUCAAUUAAGAGAAUGUUGUCCAGCUUCAGUCCCUUUUAGUUCCUGAACCACAUUCAGGAUCAAUAAAGCCAUACACUCAUUCAAACAGAGGAAGCAAAAUUGAUGCCCCGGGGUCUCUGAAAAAUUUGUCUUCUUUCAGCUUUCUCUAAUAGUACCUGGAAAAGCUUUACUCUUCACAAAUUUAAACCAAGUGUAAAUUCAGCAGUGUUUUACAGACCAGCAUUUCUAGAGAAAUGUGGGAGUUGUUGGAAAUGCUGUAUUUUUAAAAGUCAAUAAGUCCUCCUUGAGUAGACAAUCCCCAUUUUUAUGGUCAUUGUUAUAUUUUGAUUUUGAAUCAUAAAAUACAGUUACCUUGUCUUCCCUGCAUCUCUCUCUAAGAUUUUAAGACAAACAUAGCUUUCUGUGCUAUUCACUUUGAACUCAUACUUAUUUAGAAUUUUAGCUCUUAGCUUCUUGUGUUGUCUUUAGUUUUUAUUAAUUUUGUAAUCUUGUGAGAAACAGUAGCCUGCCAAUAAAAUAAGGGCCUAAGAUAGUACAUUGUGUGAACUGUGGUCUCAUUGUAAUUUCCUUAGUUGAGAUUCAACAAUGAGCCUUUUCGUAAUUUUUAAAUGUGUUCUUAAAAUUUAAUUUCCUUUAUGUUUGAUAGUAGCAUAAAAGUAAGAUACCACAGUUGAGUAAGGUCAUUUCAUUAGUCUACUUUAUAUAUCUUUUGGCUAUAGUGAGGUACUUUGCAGGGCUUUGAAAUGUGCUUACCUUGAGUGCAACCAAGGCCUAGAGUAUAGACGAAAAGCAGUGUUUUUUCAAGUGUUGCAGAUGACAGAAUCCUGCACUGAGCCUGAUUUUCGUGAUAGUUUUAAUGUUUUUGUUCUGCAGGACAAAAAUUCAAUGUAACCAUGGUAGAUAUGUCAAUGCUAUUAAUUUUAUCCUCCUGUAAUCAGUGAAUUUUCUGUGUUUACUUACUCUGUGCUGAAGAAUAAAAGUAUUCUACUUUUAUUCAUUUAAAAGUAAAUAUGUGGUUGUUACUUUUUGAA